AGAGUUGAUCCUGGCUUAGGACGAACGCUGGCGGCGUGCCUAACACAUGCAAGUCGAGCGGAGUUAACAAGAGGAAGUUUCGGAUGGAAUUUGUAAUUAGCGGCGGACGGGUGAGUAACGCGUGAGCGACCAACCUUGCACAGGGGGAUAACGGACCGAAAGGUUCACUAAUACCGCAUGAGACCACGGUGUUGCAUGACACAGAGGUCAAAGGAGCAAUCCGGUGCAAGACGGGCUCGCGUCCGAUUAGGUAGUUGGUGGGGUAAUGGCCCACCAAGCCUAUGAUCGGUAGCCGACCUGAGAGGGUGAUCGGCCACAUUGGAACUGAGAUACGGUCCAAACUCCUACGGGAGGCAGCAGUGGGGAAUAUUGGGCAAAUGGGGGAAACCCUGACCCAGCAACGCCGCGUGAAGGAAGAAGGUUUUCGGAUUGUAAACUUCUGUCCUUGGUGAAGAGAAGAAGACGGUAGCCAAGGAGGAAGCCCCGGCUAACUACGUGCCAGCCGCAGC
Molecule: ribosomal RNA, 509 nt
Filed under: uncultured bacterium
Lineage: Bacteria
Description: bacterial SSU rRNA
Rfam family: Bacterial small subunit ribosomal RNA
Source: RNAcentral